UAGAAUAAAGCUCGCUGGAUAGAGUAUUUAGCUGUUAACUAAAAUUUUACGGGAUCAAGGCCCGUUUUUCUAG
Molecule: transfer RNA, 73 nt
Filed under: Ameerega parvula (ruby poison frog)
Lineage: Eukaryota; Metazoa; Chordata; Amphibia; Anura; Dendrobatidae
Also listed under: 1 other name
Description: tRNA-Asn
Rfam family: tRNA
About the family: Transfer RNA (tRNA) molecules are approximately 80 nucleotides in length. Their secondary structure includes four short double-helical elements and three loops (D, anti-codon, and T loops). Further hydrogen bonds mediate the characteristic L-shaped molecular structure. tRNAs have two regions of fundamental functional importance: the anti-codon, which is responsible for specific mRNA codon recognition, and the 3' end, to which the tRNAs corresponding amino acid is attached (by aminoacyl-tRNA synthetases). tRNAs cope with the degeneracy of the genetic code in two manners: having more than one tRNA (with a specific anti-codon) for a particular amino acid; and 'wobble' base-pairing, i.e. permitting non-standard base-pairing at the 3rd anti-codon position.
Source: RNAcentral